This 86-nucleotide transfer RNA is filed under the name Chloroflexota bacterium. RNAcentral describes it as "Chloroflexi bacterium (soil metagenome) tRNA-Ser". It matches the Rfam family "tRNA". From Rfam's summary of the family: Transfer RNA (tRNA) molecules are approximately 80 nucleotides in length. Their secondary structure includes four short double-helical elements and three loops (D, anti-codon, and T loops). Further hydrogen bonds mediate the characteristic L-shaped molecular structure. tRNAs have two regions of fundamental functional importance: the anti-codon, which is responsible for specific mRNA codon recognition, and the 3' end, to which the tRNAs corresponding amino acid is attached (by aminoacyl-tRNA synthetases). tRNAs cope with the degeneracy of the genetic code in two manners: having more than one tRNA (with a specific anti-codon) for a particular amino acid; and 'wobble' base-pairing, i.e. permitting non-standard base-pairing at the 3rd anti-codon position. The record is from RNAcentral. Lineage: Bacteria; Bacillati; Chloroflexota.
GGAGAGGUCGCCUAGUGGCCUAGGGCGCUGACCUGGAAAGUCAGUAGUCGAAAGACUCGCGAGUUCGAAUCUCGCCCUCUCCGCCG